GUCCAAGGAAACCAUUUGAGCGCACAUUUAUCCGAGCGCCCCUGCAGAGACGCAGUCAUCAAUUCCAUGUUGUAAAUCGUUUCCACCCUGUCAAUCCAUUGGUGGAGCGAGGGGGCUACCUGACUUCUCCAUAGCAUGGGGAUGAGGGAUUUUGCUGCCGUGAGAAGGUGUAUUACCAAGCCCUUCUUGUAAGCGGAAAUAGGCAUGCUCG
Non-coding RNA from Pelobates cultripes (western spadefoot toad), 211 nucleotides. The record is from the annotation of a GenBank genome assembly. Lineage: Eukaryota; Metazoa; Chordata; Amphibia; Anura; Pelobatidae.